CCAAAAUGUAGAAACUAAGAAAACAAUCAUCAGCUUAGUUUGUCCGAAUCGGAUUGUAGUUUGGUCUGCUUUGUGCCUUACGCGUGUGGUUUCAUAAAUGCGUUCGAUUAGGGUUUCCAUAGUUGUCCUCAUGAACUCAACCUCGCCGUUCUUUUCAUAAUCUGGAUAAUUCAUGUUGCUCUUUUCAAUUGCUUAACCUUCCCUGUCGUUUUCUCUUCACCUCCCCUGUGGUUCAAUGUCUUUCUUUUAAUUCGGGAAUAAUUCUCAUAAAACCCAGUCACGAUGGUGCCUCUUCCGUUUCCUUCACUUGAAAUCUAUAUAUAUCAGCUGGUUGAAAGCAUGAUUGAUCCUCAGAAGUCAAUCGCUCUCGACUCGGUAGAUCUGCCCAGUUCUUUGAUUAUGUAAAAAGCGAAUGAUCUAAAUCUUUGAUUUAUUUUUGUUUUUCAUUUUCGAUUCUUAAGGCUUCUGUAAUGGCCAGCGACCGGAAAACGGAGAAAGAAGUCUCUGCCGAUUCAGCGACUUCUCUUCUCAGUGAAGAGGUUUCACCUUUUCUGGAUUGGCUAUGGCUCAGGAAGAAGAGCAGCUGCUCAAACUUCGGGAAGAUGAGGAGAAAGCUAAAUAUCUGUUUUUUUCCUUUUUCUUGGUUGGUUAAAGAACGUGAUUUUCUUAAUUGAGUUAGUGUGCUUUGCUCGAGUGGGGUAGAACGGGAGAAUCAAAAAGCCCAGCCUGAGAAUAAAUGAGGUCGGGACGCAAUAGAAAUUAAGUCUGCUACACAGUAUGAAGGCUAAGAAAGUUGUUACUGCUAAGAAGGUCAUGAAUCUGCCAACUCAUAUCAGACAGAGGAAGAAAGAGUCAUGAAAGAGCAGAGUGAAUUCAUAGGAAUCUACUCCUCCACGAUUUGAGAUUAGCUCUGUUCCUUUCAUCACCGCUGAACGCAGCGGUAGCUUCAAAAAAUUAAAGCUUUAACGACAACAACACAGAGCACAGAUGAAGCACGGCGGACUGAUUUUGCAGUCGUGCGGCAACAAACGGAGGAUAAAACAGACGCAGAAAAUAUCAGCGGCAUCGGCUUCUCAUUGCUUGUGUCUCUGGAAGUCCACCAGCGAUUGCCGCUGCAUCAAAUUACUCUUAUUUUUGUCUCGUUCACCGUACAUUAUUUUGCCGCUGCCGCUGGAUGUGGCGUCUAUGAAACGAACAGACCUAUCAUCAUAGAGAUAUGCGUUUGCACAUUGAGGAAAUGUCUUACUGGAGCUUCUUGCGUUGAGUGAGCGGAUUGGAACUGUAAACACUGGUUUGACAGAGGAAGAUGUCAAGAGCCAUCUGAAAACAAGAACAUGUUCUGUAAUAAACCUUGCAGAAGAAUCACCCUCGUCUCCGCAAACUAAAGAUAAAACUGAACCUUGCACCAUAUGUUAGGAAAACUUCAAGAAUGAAAAAAGAUUGCUACUUUGGAUUGUGGGCCUGAGUAUCAUGCUGAAUGCUUGGAGAAAUGGCUGAUUGUGAAAAACCUUUGCCCUAUCUGUAAAUCAGAAGCAUUGGCCAUGGAGAAGAGAAACGUAUAAUAGGAAGAAGAAUGACUUCUUUUAAUCUAAUGGGUUUAUUUAGAUAUAUUUAUAUAUAAAAAAGGAAACUUACAUGAAUAGAAGAAAACUGAGUUUUAUUUUCAGCUCCAAAAGGAUUCUGUAAAUUUGUACAUUUUUUGUUUGUUUGUGAAUAUAACAAUGUGUGAAUGGUCAAAAACUUUCUCUUGCA
Long non-coding RNA from Brassica napus (rape), 1752 nucleotides. RefSeq lists it as uncharacterized. The record is from RefSeq and is a predicted model, not a curated record. Lineage: Eukaryota; Viridiplantae; Streptophyta; Magnoliopsida; Brassicales; Brassicaceae. The transcript is spliced from 5 exons.